RNAcentral lists this small RNA (379 nucleotides) under Ipomoea nil (Japanese morning glory). RNAcentral describes it as "5' ureB small RNA". It matches the Rfam family "5' ureB small RNA". Lineage: Eukaryota; Viridiplantae; Streptophyta; Magnoliopsida; Solanales; Convolvulaceae. The record is from Rfam by way of RNAcentral.
CAUAAGCCAAUUGAGGGCAGAUGAAGUGAACAUGGCAGUCUAUUGCUCCUGCGGUUACAAUCAUCCCUUCACCAGCAAUAACCUCUGUAUUCAACUGAUUGCGGAAAAGCCAAAAGUCAUGAAAUUUAAGAGUCAAAAGUCUUGAAAUUUAAGGAUGUUUUUAUUGUUUGUUUGUCGGACUCACCCCAAUUACAAUGCCCUCUGAUACAUGCAUGAUAUCCGGGUUCCCUGCUUUCCCCAGGGAAACAAUUAAACCAUUUUUAAUUCCAAUAUCAGCCUUAAAAAUUCCUGAAUAAUCAAUGACUACAGCAUUUGUUAUAACAGUAUCCAAACAGGAAACUGCAUGAUAUCCACAAGCCUGACCCAUUCCAUCUCUUAG